This 428-nucleotide ribosomal RNA is filed under the name uncultured bacterium. RNAcentral's name for it is "partial 16S ribosomal RNA". It matches the Rfam family "Bacterial small subunit ribosomal RNA", at positions 354 to 796 of the family's 1533-position model. The record is from RNAcentral.
GUGGGGAAUAUUGCACAAUGGGGGAAACCCUGAUGCAGCGACGCCGCGUGAGUGAUGAAGGCCUUCGGGUCGUAAAGCUCUGUCGUAUGGGACUAACACAAUGAAGGUACCAUGCAAGAAAGGAUCGGCUAACUUCGUGCCAGCAGCCGCGGUAAGACGAGGGAUCCUAGCGUUGUUCGGAAUCAUUGGGCGUAAAGCGGGUGUAGGCGGUCUUAUAAGUCAGGUGUGAAAGCCCAGGGCUCAACCCUGGAAGUGCACUUGAUACUGUAAGACUUGAGUGUGGUAGAGGCUACUGGAAUUCCUGGUGUAGUGGUAAAAUACGUAGAUAUCAGGAGGAAUACCGGAGGCGAAGGCGAGUAGCUGGGCCAACACUGACGCUGAGAUCCGAAAGCGUGGGGAUCAAACAGGAUUAGAAACCCUUGUAGUCC